Long non-coding RNA from Oxyura jamaicensis (ruddy duck), 634 nucleotides. RefSeq lists it as uncharacterized. Lineage: Eukaryota; Metazoa; Chordata; Aves; Anseriformes; Anatidae. The record is from RefSeq and is a predicted model, not a curated record. The transcript is spliced from 2 exons.
CUCCGGAACUGUGUUUAAAACUUUAAAAACCGUGUUUUCUGAUCGGACUGAGAAGUGACAAAAGCUGUCGGAUUUGGUGGAACAGUGGGUGAAUUUCCUUAAGUAAUAGGAUCUGGCACUUCAUCUAAGAAGAAAUAGUAGUUUGUAUGUUAUAUGUCCAAGAAACAGUCCAUCCAUGGGAGUGAACAGCAAAAGCUUUGUUGCUUUCAGUGGAGACAAGGUCAAGGCCAGAGUAAUCCAGUGACCGAUCUCCUGUUACUCCUCCAGCUGGUCCUGAAUCUUCACAGGAGUACCACAUAAAGCGUGGUGUAUGUGGGGAUAGCCAUGGCGUAUUUAACUUAAGGGUCACACUUGAAAGCAGUGGAACGAGGGGUGUCCGUAUGAGCAAGUUAACGUAAAAGAGCAAGUUAACGUAAAAGACCAAUCCAAAAAGAAGCGCUUCAACUCAUUUAUUUAUUUAUUUAUUUAUUUUCUGUGUGACUCCUAAUGUCUUUGCAUUCUGCAAGAGCUGCUGAGAAACCCAAGCACCUCAGUUCUUUGUACCUUCUACCGCCGGAACACUGGUGUUCGUUGUACCUGAUGCUGGCUCCCAGUGAACGCAUUUUAAUUGUAAUAAAACACAAACCGAACCAUA